Lethenteron reissneri (Far Eastern brook lamprey) is the source of this 3422-nucleotide long non-coding RNA. RefSeq lists it as uncharacterized. The record is from RefSeq and is a predicted model, not a curated record. NCBI's taxonomy places the organism in Eukaryota, Metazoa, Chordata, Hyperoartia, Petromyzontiformes, Petromyzontidae.
GUAAGUUACCAACCGUCACUCACCAAUUCAAAAUCAUGAACUUUAUUAAUCGUGGAUAAAUCCGAUGAGCUAUAAAGCUCUUUUAAACGAUUUCAGGAAAUUACACCAAUAACAACAAGUGAAAAGUAUGAGAAAAGUAAGUUAAUCCCGAAAACGAAAUGAGCUCCACUCUUUUUAAAUCCUUUAUAUUAAGUUCACUUGCGCGCUUGCUUGCUUGCGCGCUUACGACCGUGCAAAUCUUUCGGUCGUCUUUUUAACCCACUUCCCGUGAUCCAAUCGAGCUGACAUUUGUGUGUGACAAUUUAUUUUCGUAAAAAAAUGUUCCAUUUUUUAGGAAAAAUAAAAAUUCAUAUGUUAUUUAAAAUACCAAUGUGAUAAAAAUGAAACUCUUACUCAAGAAAAACAGAAAAGAAUAAUAAAAUGAAACCGAUGCCACGCAUAUAAAGGAUUUAUAGUGAAAAACUUUGUUUUUACGGGUUACAUUUUUUUUAUUAAACCAUGUGAAGCCCACUGAGCUAUUUAGUUCUUCAGAAGCGAUCGACAGGCCCAUGUCUGUCUCCAGUGGGAAAUGUAGAGCCGUGUGUUUGUCCGCAGUGUAACAUGUGAUCGCUGUGCUUCUGCUUCUCCUUCUUCUUGCAGUUGGCGACCCCCGCGAGGGAUCCCGCGGGGCUGUGCCCGGGACCCCCUCCCCGGAUGAAGCCCGAGGCGCGGCGCGGGUCGCCGUGCCGGAGCUGACGGGAGCCGCGCAGGCGGCGGCGGGGCCGCGUCUGGGGGCGGAGCCUCAGGGCCCAACCAUGACUGUGGCAGCUGGAUCAGAGGGCACCUCGUCCGGUAACGACCUCACGGUCUUGGCCCCCACCUCGUCCAACGAGGUGCUGGUGGCGGCCGACGAGAUGCUCUGCAUGCAACCCAGCUGCCUUCCCCAUGGCCGGCCUGAACCAUCCCUGGUGCCAGCCACAGCACGCGAUAACAUCAGUGUGUCUGUGCUGCCUGCACCCCAAGGUGAGUGUGCGACCACGCGACCUCGUGACCUCUCGUUACGGUGGCAGCCACCAACAGAAGGGCCACUUUGGAGCCACUGCUGUUGCCCAUCAUGAGUAACACGGGGAGCUUAAAAUACCCAGCAGCCAACGUGACAGGCAUAUCACAUUAUUCUCGAAUUUGAGCUUCAUACUUCAAUGUGGAGCAAAAUCUUUCUGGUUAAUGGUGGCACCACGGGUGCUGGCUGGGGCCAUGUUUUAUCUAUAAUGGGAAAUGUAGACCCAGAAGUACGAAAUGUAAUCGCUGUGCUUCUCCUUCUUGCAGAUGGCGACACCCCCGAGGGAUCCCGCGGGGCUGUGCCCGGGACCCCCUCCCCGGAUGAUGCCCGAGGCACGGCGCGGGUCGCCGUGCCGGAGCUGACGGGAGCCGCGCAGGCGGCGGCGGGGCCGCGAAACCAACCACAACGCUGGGAGUACACUGGGGUGGGUAUUGGAUAAUGAUAGGUGACGUUUCAGGCAAUGGUCCGUCUGCAGAGCACAUCACAGUUGUUUGCCCUUUCAUACCGUCGCCGAUAGAGAGUGGCCCACAAGUUAGGACACACAGAUCUUAUUGAUUUAUUUAAACAAAUCACAGAGGAUUGUUUUGUCAUGGUAUUAAUUAUAAUAACAAAAAAAAUGUUAACUUUUAGACUAAAUGAUUAAAACGUUGCAAUUUCAGUGGCACGAUGAAUGAAACUUUUGGGCCAACCUGUAUUUUGCACUCCUAUCAUGUGUUGAUAUUGUUCGUUGUUGUAACAUUCUUACCUACCCCAACUGGACACCUAUACGAAAGAGCUUUAUAACUCAUCGGAUUCCUCCAGUCUAAAUAUCUAUUCUGAUUCCGAUAAUAAUGUGUAAUAAAUAUAUCAUGUGUGGUUAGAUAUAAAAAGCGACGUUUCAGGCAAUGGCCUUUCUGCAAAGCACAUCACAAUUGGCCCUUCAUAACGUCACCUAUAGAGGGUAGCCCAAAAGUCAUGCCACAUAGUGUCAUCAUUUUUAUUUUAACAGGUAACAAAGCAUUAUGUUGUUUGUUUUAACAAAUGUUAAAACUGACUUCUGUUUACAUUGAUGCACGAUGUACGAAUGAGCAGUCACAGCUGCCUUCUUUUGCAUACGAAUGACAAUCAAACUCGUUCGUCUCUGGUCAAUUUCCUGUCCAUUUUUUCAAUGUCAUCUGAAAAUGAAGAAGAAAAAUAGAUAUUAAUAAUAAUAUCAAGUUCAAGUUCAUUUAUUAGGUAUAGCCCUGUGAGCCAUUCGGCUCUUGAAUCGGGUGCAACCACAACAAACAAAAGAACAUGAACAAGAAAACAUCUUAAAGUGAUUAUGUGACUAUUUGCAAACAGAAAAUCCAAGAAAAGACGGCAAAACAUUGCAGAAAAAGCACCGUACACCAACGCUGUGUGCAAAAAUCCCAGUGGGAUGCAAGUCCGGAGUGAAACAUUUUAUUUUAGGCCACUAAAUAGCAGUGGCAGCUCGGGGUGUACAUCUCCUCUAGAGCAGUUUUGAGUGAAGAUAUCAUAGGUAGUGAUUCAAGUUGCAGUUUAUUGGCAAUAGCAUUCCAGACCCUGGGGGCAUCAAUAGAAAAGGCCCUUCCUCCAGUAUUUGUAUGGCAAUAGGGAAUCUGAAGUUGGUAAAUGAGCGAAGACCUUAGGUCAAAUUUGUUCUUUGAAACUGAGAGGAAAUCCCGCAGAUAAUCUGCGGAUUUUUUUGGAAGUACAUUAUGAAUCAAAAAGAUCUGGUGCACAAGCCGUCGAACAUUAAGAGAUGUUAAGUUUGACCCAAUGUAGAGAUCACAGUGGUGAGUCCUAUAUGGGCAGUUCAGUGCAAAUCUUAAGGCCGAGUGAUACAUUGAGUCAAGCUUCUUCAGUGCAGUAUUUGGGGCUGAUUUAUACACGAUGUCACAGUAAUCAAGUAGAGGCAGUACGGUAGCUUUUAUCAAUUCCAAACGGAACAUAGGGUGGAAGCAGUGCUGGUGUCGAUACAGAAAACCUAUUGUUGUCUUUUUACCAAUAUAAUCAAUGUGAUCUUCAAAAUUCAGUUUUGAAUCAAGGAUGACCCCAAGAUACUUAUAGAUCUUGACUUGCUCUAUUUGAUCAUUAUUUAAGGAAUGUUAUUGGGGAAAAAUAACUUCCCGCUUUAGUCCUGGUGAGGAGCAUCGCGUAAUUGCCCGUCACGUGACGGGUAUUUUCACGUCGUAAACGAUCCACUGUGUUGUGACUUUGUCGAUGACGCCACCUCUGCCGUCUUCCUCCGUUUAAUCGACGUCUUCUUUCGUCUGCGACUCUUCUGGAUUCAUCUGAAUGAACUCAAAAUUACGGAAUGUGACGUACCGAAUGUAAUUUUAUCUUCUACGAGAGUAAUGUAUAACAAACCUGAAAAUAAAGAAUGAAAAAUUGUAAAUCA